CCUACGGGAGGCAGCAGUGGGGAAUAUUGCACAAUGGGGGAAACCCUGAUGCAGCGACGCCGCGUGAGUGAAGAAGUACUUCGUUAUGUAAAGCUCUAUCAGCAGGGAAGAAAAUGACGGUACCUGAGUAAGAAGCCCUGGCCAACUACGUGCCAGCAGCCGCGGUAAUACGCAGGGGGCAAGCGUUAUCCGGAUUUACUGGGUGUAAAGGGAGCGUAGACGGCAGUGCAAGACUGGAGUGAAAGGCGGGGGCUCAACCCCCGGACUGCUCUGGAAACUGUACGGCUGGAGUGCAGGAGAGGUAAGUGGAAUUCCUGGUGUAGCGGUGAAAUGCGUAGAUAUCAGGAGGAACACCAGUGGCGAAGGCGGCUUACUGGACUGUAACUGACGUUGAGGCUCGAAAGCGUGGGUAGCAAACAGGAUUAGAUACCCGAGUAGUC
This 440-nucleotide ribosomal RNA is filed under the name uncultured bacterium. RNAcentral's name for it is "partial 16S ribosomal RNA". It matches the Rfam family "Bacterial small subunit ribosomal RNA", at positions 338 to 795 of the family's 1533-position model. The record is from RNAcentral.